GAGUCCUCUGCCCUGGAUCGAGAGCAUGUCUCGUAGUAGCUUGGAGACUACAAAAGUUUCCCUGGCAGCAUGAAUGAUCUACCACAACGUGCUCUUGCCUUUCGGAGUUGCCCUCCAAUUUUUCCAGGCCCGAUUCUGUAAAUCAUUUCAUCUCGCGCAAAGACCCAGCUGGGAGCGUUGGUGAUCUCAAAGGGGAGGGUUAUUUAAAGCUCCAUUUAAGAAUCUAUCCUCCCUUCAACAGAUUAACGCAGCUCAAAUAUGUGACCAAACGUGUUUUUCUGUGCAUAUGCCAAUGCGCAGGUAGCUCUGGGGCCUUUGAGAGGAAGUAGGAUGUGCCUCUACACCGGGCGACUUUGGAAAAAGUGACUUCUCUGUGUAUUGACAACUAAUUUAUCAUUGGAAGCACGUAAGGUUUUACUCUAUGCAAGUGCUCAUCGGGUGGCUGGUGGUGGAGGGCGGGAUGAAGUGGGGAAAACUGAAAUGUUUUGAGAGAGACAAGUAAGCCUCAAAAGGUCAUUUAGACUGUCCUCUUGGCUUCUGUCAUCCCAAGAAGAUGGAAAUCUAUUGUGGUUUUCAAGGUAGAUUAAGGUUAAAUAGCUCACAGAAUUGGAAGAGUGUUUGGGGUCACUAUCUGAAGUCUUUUGCGUCAUAAUUUAUCCUCACUUGCCUUUAUUCCAACACUGAAAAAACUGGCUGAAGGCAGAUUGUAACGGAGAAGGUCCAAUAACCACGAGCUGGUGAAUGUUCCGUCAGAGAGGAGGCUUCUUUAACAUCUCUGAUCUUCUGUCACCUGUUGACAAAACAGUUGCCCGCAUGCAGGGACCAUAUGCUUUUGAAACGAACAUUCCUGAAUGUUGAAUGUUAGAAGUUAUCUUGCUGGUUUUUGGAGUAAAGGCAGGACUGCCUCCUGAUAACUCACUUGGAAUAGAAAACCAAACUUGCUUUUCAGAGUUAGAGCGCAUGCAGUUCAGUGAAGCAAUGAGUUUAACAAAAAUGUAACAAAACAUUUCUGUUGAAACUUUUUUCCUUAAGAUAGGAAACUCCAUCCAGCGACAAUCCAGGAAUGGAAUUUUGUAAAUUGUUUAGUAGAGUUAUGAUGACAAAAGCCUCUCACAAGAUGAUGUAAGCAGAUGAGAGUGGGAGGGAGAAAGGAAGAGCUGAUAACCUGUUCAGCAUCACAAAAAUGUUAUUUUGUUUAAAUCUCACAAAAGCUUCUCUCCUUUUCACAGAUGAGGAAACAGACACUGAGAGAUGUGAGAGCAAACCUUUCCAAGGUACAAUUAGUCUGUGCCUGAGCUUGUAAAGUUUGAAAGCCGUGAUUCCUUUACAAGCUCAGGCACAGAUUAUUUGAAGGUGCUCCUUCAAUGCACCAGGCUGCCUCGCCUACUGCCUACGAGAAAGCAUCGUGGAGGGCACCCCAUCUGCCUCUUUGCAGUGACUCUCAGGGGUGAGACAGAGCUGCCUCAUGACCAAGGCAAUACUGUCACACCGGGGAGAGGAAGUAGGAAGUAGGAAGUAGGAGGUAGACAGGGACUUCCGUUAGGCUGUUCGGGGCCACUAUUCCAGCUCAGCUGUUCUCUGGCUGCCUGACUUGGGGCAAAUUACUGAAACUCUUUAUAUCGCAGUUAGACCCAAUCUGUAUAAAAAGGGAGUAAUACUCCUGCCCAACUCAUAGGGUUUUGUGAGUAAUUAAAUGAAAUGGAAAAUGCUUCACCCAGUGUCUGGAAAAAAAAAAUGCUCACCAAGUCUAUAUAGUUUCUGAUUCUAUUUGGAGCUUACAUUACGUAUAGUUAUUAAUUUCUUUAUCAUGAAACCACCCACAGUGAAACAUGGAGAUUCUUAUGAAAGGCAAAAGUCAACGCUUGUGAGAGCGAUUAGAUAUACCAAAGAAGCAGCAGAAAAUCCUAGAGAGCAUCAUAAAAUGGCUGGCCGUACUUGUUUUCCAAGCAAAAUAGAAAUUCAAAAUUAAGGAGCAAGGCUAGAACAAAGGUGAAAAUUAUAAGGAAUUACAGGGAAGGCCAGUUCCCCGUAAUAACCAGUAACCCAAGAGCCAUUAAGGAGAAGGAACCAGACUAAUGCUUUUGUUAUAGGUAAUUCCAUCAGUGCCAUUACCACCCGUGUAGUUUCUAAAAAGGCGAAUUUAAAAAAAAGACUCAAUUUUGUUAAAAAUUAGGUGUAGUAUAGCCUCCAAAGUGAGCUAUGAAAUACUGCCCUAAGCCAGAAAAAAUGUUAGCCAUCUUGCAAGGGUAUUCUUUAAAUUAAAAAAAAAAUUUUUUUUUUUAAUCUUUAUUUAUUUUUGAGAGAGAGACAGUGUGUGAGCAGGGGAGGAGCAGAGAGAGAGGGAGACACAAAAUCUGAAGCAGGCUCCAGGCUGUGAGCUGUCAACACAGAGCCUGGCACAGGGCUCGAACUCACGAACCGUGAGAUCAUGACCUGAGCCGAAGUCGGAAACCUAACUGACUAAGUCACCCAGGUGCCCCAUGGGUAUUCUUUAAAAAAAAAAUUUUUUUUUUUACAUUUAUUUAUUUUUGAGAGACAGAGCACAAGUGGGGGAGGGGCAGAGAGAGAAGGAGACACAGAAUCCGAAGCAGGCUCCAGGCUCUGAGCAAGCAGUCAGCACAGAGCCUGAUGCGGGGCUCGAACCCAUGAACCGUGAGAUCAUGACCUGAGCCAAAGUCGGACGCUCAACUGACUGAGCCACCCAGGUGCCCCUCCCUAUGGGUAUUCUCAAAAAAAAAAAAAAAAAAAAAUUAAAUAAGUCAGUUUCUUCUUAUUUAUUUAUUUUUACAUUGGACAUUUUGAAUUUUCCAUUAUGUGAAGGGUCUAAAGUCUUUUGCCAAGAGCAAUGAGAUUUGUGGGUAGGAAAAAAAAAGCUCACAAAACACCCCUUUGUCUAUCAAUUCCAUUAAUUUCUAUACAAUUAGAAUACGUAUUAGUUUUCCCUGCACCAAUAGAAAACACGCUGGUGGGGGGAAUCCAUUCUGGAUAUGACAAAACAGGACUUUGUCAAACAACUCAGACAAGGUAAAAUUUCUCCUUAAAACAGAAGCUUUUUUUUUUUUUUCCUCCUAGAUUUUCCUUAAGGGGGUUGAGCUUCUGAUUAUUCCCUCUACAACCCUGCAUUUCGGGCCCAUUUUCUUCUGCAUUUCACCUUGGUGGUGAUAUCAUCCCUCUCUGUAUCAGGGGGAGGGAGGGAUUAAUGAAAAUAAAGGUCAGCCCUUCCCUAUCUCCUUUGGGGCCAUGUCGUCUUAGUUUUGAUCAUUUCCCCCAAAUUAAGAUUUCUGUAUAAACCCCUCAUGUGUGUGUUUGGCUGGCAGUUUUAUGGCUGACCAAAUUUUGCACUGGCCAGUGUUCUGGUUGGCUGAAUGUUUACACAGGCUGUUAAUCAGAUGGGGAGGGAGGAGUGGAUGUGGGGACUGUCUGUGAGCCGGAGUGGUCCUGUUUGCUGUCGUGUGCAAGGGCCUGCACUUUGUUACUACAAAUUACAUAAUGACAUGUUACAUUUCAAAGUGUAUUUUUACUUCAGGGAAAAUUAAACCAAUAAACAAACAACUCUGGUGGAAAAAAAAAAAAGGAAAAAAAAUGAGAUCCCUGGUUUCCAGAUCUUCCUCUUCCAAAAGGUUCUUAAUUAAAUUGUAGCUAUAAACAAAUCUUUGUUUUAUUGAAAAGAGAGCAAUUGCAUAUAAAAGCUAUUUUUGAAAAUUAGGAUUCGAGCGUUUGCUGGACUAGGGUCUGGCCCAUGUUAUGUGUUUUAUGAUCUGUCCAAAAUGAAAAGGCAGGCUCGUGUAGUGAUGGUAGGUUUUCUAUUUUUGAUUGCUAAUCCUUCUCGAAUGUUGCUCCUGCCCUGCUUGAAAGGAGUAUGUAAACACAGGAAUUCUCCUAGUUUUUCCAGGUACUGAUUCAAGCAAAGCUGCUUAGCGUAAGGAUGAACUUGUCCACUCUGGAUUCUUGGUCACGCGGGAAAUCAGGUGUAUUCAGCAGCACACUAUCUACAUUUUAGCAACUUUGAAGCAGUUAAAAAAAAAAAAAAUCAACCCCUCUAAAUCAACUUCCAAGCCUUUCACUCACACCUACAAAUUCAAGAUGAGUUUUUUUUUUCUGUAAGCUGUUGAAAUCAGAAUGUGCCCUGGAUCCAAGGUUAUGGUGAUAGCCCUUCUGGGUAAUAGUCAUGUGCAUACGUGGUUCAAUUCUGCAUUUAUAGGUUCCCCACCGCCACCGCCCCGCCCCGCUACCUGAAAGUAGCACGUUCCUAUGAAACCCUUUAUAAGCUGAAAUGGCAUAAAGCGAAUAAGCAAUUACCAUUAAUUUAUAUGAAAAAUUUUUUGAGCAUUCCCAGACCCAAAAUAUAACCUCUCUUAGGCUUUUCUGGUACCUUGGGACACAUCUUGCUAACUAUACACAAAAUAAAUCAAGAGAAAGCACAGAUGCUCACAGACACAGUUCAAAGCUGUGGCGGCUUGCUGCUGAGAUGCUGAGUGUGCUUCUCAGGAAGGAGUUUGGUGGGACCGUUCUCGCUGCUGGGGGUGCACGCCGCCUCUGUUUCUAGCUCCCUGCAAAACCAGCACUGAAUGCUAUUUUUGCUCCCCUCCCGCCUUUUUUAAAAAAUAAAAGUGAAAAUCCUCUUUGGAUUUUUUCAGUUAGUGACGACAGGUACUAAUGUAGGUCUUUUGUUAAAGUAACGUAGUGUAAUGUAAACUUUCGAAAAGUGGGGGGUACUUGCAUGUGCUGGUUCCGACACUUUUUUUUCAGAAUAAACUACGUUAUCAAAAGAGAAUGUGUCCUCACUGUCUUUCCGCCGGUUAUGUGGAGUACUGAGAAUAAAGACACGUAUUAAACUGCAUGGUAAGUGAAUUAUUUCACCAAAUCAAUCUUGCCCACAUCUGCUGUUAUCCGAACCAUCUGACCCGGAAUUCACUGGGUUUGUUCAGGUGUUUGGCUGCUACUAGGAAUUGCCACAGCCCGGUCAGUGGCUGCAUGAAUUGUCCCUUUUAUAUUUUAACCAUAUUCCACGAGGCUUACAUUUCUUAGGCGAAAUUACGAUGUGAUUUAGGACAAUUUAUCAGUACAAUCCACAUGAGAAAUCACAAGAGCAGCUGAGAAGAACUGUCUACAUCUUCCUAUUGAGUUUGUUUAUUCUUAAACUCAGGAUGUUUAAAAAGAGAACUUUUCUCCUCAAAUCUUAGAGACAAUAAUGGGGUUUUGAACCUUACAAUUAAAAUUUCAGAUUUUUCAGUGACUGAAAAAACUUAAGAAGAAGAAAGGAUAGCAAAAUAAAGGGCAGAUACAUAGUGUAGGUUUUUGUUUUUGUUUUUGUUUUUUGAUAAAAGGAAACCAUUUUAGGCAAUGCUAUUUGGUAACAGUAGCCAUGUAAAUGCGCGGCACCCUGUUUUAUUUUGUGGCCAAAAAAAUACACUUUCCUCUGUCUCAUCUUGGAUCCUUGACAGUUCCAUGUGAAUAAUCAAUUUAGAUUAAUACUUAUGAAGGUUCUCAACCCCUGAACCAGACCGACCAUCGGCCAUUCAAGUAGUUUUGUUUUUGACUUCAGGCGUCUUAGCGCGAGGACUGCUGUCUGGGGGCAUUCUACUGGGGUUUGGCCUUGACUUUAGAGCUGCAGAAAAGAGCAGAUUUUUCACUACUGUCACCAAACAGCCAAGGGAAGUGAAGAGUCAGAUAUUAAUCCAGGGCUUUCAUCCUGUGAAUGACUAAUCCAGUAAGAAAGAAGAUUUUGAGCCAAGCAGUAAUCUAUCAAUGGACCAAUAAUCCACAGUGUGCCUGUGAAUGGGUUAGAUGCUUUCAUCUUGGUUUUUGGCUUAGCUAGCAUUUGACGUGGUAGAUGGGAGGGAAAGUCACAUCAUAGCUUGUUGAAUGAAUGAGUGAAAAUGGGUAAUGUAACAAUAAUAAUAAUAAUGAGGUCCUUUCCUCUCAUUUUUUGAUAGGACGCCAUUAAUUUACCCAUGGUGACAACUACUCUCUUCUGCCUAUUUUGCCUUCCAUGUCAUGGUUUGCAUCAAAGCUCCAGGGGAAGCUCACCAUCAGCACCACAGAUACCCUGCACAAAGCCAGACACGGGAAAGAGAGAGGCUUAAGGUAGAAGGAAGGGUGAAAGUUCAACUUUCAGAUGGCAGUUCGGCUGUAGACAACAGAAUGAGAAAGUGGUGGCCAUGUUGUUUCUUUCACCUUCAACUUUGAAUUUAAGUCCUGAAAUGUAUCUGCUUCUGUUUCUAUCAAUCUGUCUCUGGAUCACUGAUCAUCCAUCCACCUAUCUAUCUAUCAUUUAUCUCUUUCUCUCUCUCUCUAACAAAUCUAUCACCUGUCAUUUAUCAAUCAUCUAUCAUCUAUCAGCUAUUUCCUAUUUUUCUAUCUAUUCCUUCAUUUCUCUCCCUUUCUCCUUUUUUCCUUUUCAAAAAUAAAACUGGUACUAAUGCAGAAGUCUGAAAUUAGACCUUAAAAGCUAUCACUACUCUUAUUUUCAAGGGGUGGAGUUUUUUCUAACUUGUCUGGCUUUAACUUUCCUAUUCUCUUCUGAUAUUUGUCCUUAUUGCCACAUGUCAGAGAACCUCUUUGAAAAUUCUUCUGUUUAAUGGGGUUCAGGGAAAUAAAAAUCUACUUUAAAAAAGAUAAAAUGAAGCUGAUAUGGACUUGGUAAGUAAUUUCUGUGGAGGUCCAUUUUCAUAUGCAUGCAAAUCUGUCUAAAUGUUGUUUCAAAUUUUAAAUCAUGUGCACAUAAAACUCAUAAAACUCACUUAUGUGUUUUUAAAUGCUGUUUAAAAUUUUAAAGUAUAUACACACACACAGAGCUUAACAUGCAUUAUAAUAGCAUGCAACCUGAAAAAUAAGUUUGAAAACUGAACUGGCUUUGCAAUGCAGCAAUAGACUAAUCAAGUAUCAUUUUAUAUAAUGUAUAUGCCUCUGAGUGCAGCAUGCAAAUAUGCUAUUUAGAAUAUUUUCCUGAUUGAAUGAACAAGCCCACAGGUUCACCGUUUUAUAUUUGUUCUCUUAAAAACAUGAAACUCAUUUUGAAAAUGCUGGUUUAAAUGGGCGUUAUUAAGUCUUU
This 7054-nucleotide long non-coding RNA is filed under the name Lynx pardinus (Iberian lynx). The record is from RNAcentral. Lineage: Eukaryota; Metazoa; Chordata; Mammalia; Carnivora; Felidae.